Bradysia coprophila is the source of this 132-nucleotide small nuclear RNA. NCBI's taxonomy places the organism in Eukaryota, Metazoa, Arthropoda, Insecta, Diptera, Sciaridae. The record is from RefSeq and is a predicted model, not a curated record.
AUACUUGCCUGGCGUCGGGACUACGAUGAUCAAUAAGGUCGUUUCCCCUAGUCUACACCUUUGCAUUGCACUUUAGCUUGGGCUGAAAAUGGCGAUCGCAGCUAUAAUGUUUGCAACUCGGUCGUACGAAGC